AAUGAACGCUGGCGCGUGCCUAACACAUGCAAGUCGUACGAGAAAUCCCGAGCUUGCUUGGGAGAGUAAAGUGGCGCACGGGUGAGUAACGCGUGGGCAACCCACCCUCGAAUCUGGGAUAACUCCGCGAAAGCGGUGCUAAUACCGGAUAAGACCACAUUCCGUUCGCGGAAAGAGGUAAAAGCUGACCUCUCCAUGGAAGUUAGCGUUCGAGGACGGGCCCGCGUCCUAUCAGCUUGUUGGUGGGGUAAUGGCCUACCAAGGCAGCGACGGGUAGCUGGUCUGAGAGGAUGAUCAGCCACACUGGAACUGGAACACGGUCCAGACUCCUACGGGAGGCAGCAGUGAGGAAUUUUGCGCAAUGGGGGAAACCCUGACGCAGCAACGCCGCGUGGGUGAAGAAGGCUUUCGGGUCGUAAAGCCCUGUCAGGUGGGAAGAAACUCUUCAGUACUAAUAAUGCUGAAGCCUGACGGUACCACCAGAGGAAGCACCGGCCAACUCCGUG
Molecule: ribosomal RNA, 506 nt
Filed under: uncultured bacterium
Lineage: Bacteria
Description: bacterial SSU rRNA
Rfam family: Bacterial small subunit ribosomal RNA
Source: RNAcentral